UGAAUUUAAUUCAGAGUGGAUUUACAUCUGAGGCUGGAUAAAUGGGAAUGUGACGACAAGUAAGUUUUUGUCUCAAAGUGAGACAUUUUAGGAGUAGAAAAUUGUGUACCUUAAGCCUAUGUUAGGUGUCCCUUUUGUAAGACCUCCUAUAUGAUUUCCAGAAGGAGUUCACUAGGAUUUAUGAGUUGUGUCUGUUGUGAUUUGCAUAUCACAUUUGAUUUCAGACGUGUGUCUCGCAGGAUCAUCUGGUUUUGUUGAUCCUUGGGUACAUUGGAUCAUGAUUGCCACCAAGUAAGGUUGAAAAUAUGUCUACGUGAGUUCCAAUGUUCAUCCACCUCAGACUACAUCUUGUAUGCUACGACGCCAUAAUUCAUUAGUUGUUUGUUUGGGCCUAAGUUGAAGUGGACUGGGCAUUAGACUGGUCCAAAACAAUUGCCUGAAAGUCACGAGUUGAUGCAAUCAACUUGUUUAAGCUGCCACAUCUUAUUUUGUAUCCUCUCUUG
RNAcentral lists this long non-coding RNA (503 nucleotides) under Cicer arietinum (chickpea). Its description in RNAcentral is "long non-coding RNA (CARI_LNC000485)". Lineage: Eukaryota; Viridiplantae; Streptophyta; Magnoliopsida; Fabales; Fabaceae. The record is from RNAcentral.